This 480-nucleotide ribosomal RNA is filed under the name uncultured bacterium. RNAcentral's name for it is "partial 16S ribosomal RNA". It matches the Rfam family "Bacterial small subunit ribosomal RNA", at positions 28 to 507 of the family's 1533-position model. The record is from RNAcentral.
GAUGAACGCUAGCGGCAGGCCUAACACAUGCAAGUCGAGGGAGAGGUUACCUUCGGGUAACCAAAACCGGCGCACGGGUGCGUAACGCGUAUACAAUCUGCCUUUCACAUAGGGAUAGCCCGAAGAAAUUUGGAUUAAUACCUAAUGGUAUAUAAGAGCGGCAUCGUUUUUAUAUUAAAGCUACGGUGGUGAAAGAUGAGUAUGCGCUCUAUUAGCUAGUUGGAGAGGUAACGGCUCCCCAAGGCGACGAUAGAUAGGGGUUCUGAGAGGGAUGUCCCCCACACUGGUACUGAGAUACGGACCAGACUCCUACGGGAGGCAGCAGUGAGGAAUAUUGGACAAUGGUCGGAAGACUGAUCCAGCCAUGCCGCGUGCAGGAUGAAGGUCCUAUGGAUUGUAAACUGCUUUUGUAAGGGAAGAAUAAGGAGUACGUGUACUUUGAUGACGGUACCUUACGAAUAAGCAUCGGCUAACUCCGUG